UACGUAGGGUGCAAGCGUUAAUCGGAAUUACUGGGCGUAAAGCGUGCGCAGGCGGUUUUGUAAGUCUGUCGUGAAAGCCCCGGGCUCAACCUGGGAAUUGCGAUGGAGACUGCAAGGCUUGAAUCUGGCAGAGGGGGGUAGAAUUCCACGUGUAGCAGUGAAAUGCGUAGAGAUGUGGAGGAACACCGAUGGCGAAGGCACUUUACUGGGCUAUUACUAACACUCAGAGACGAAAGCUAGGGUAGCAAAUGGG
RNAcentral lists this ribosomal RNA (253 nucleotides) under uncultured bacterium. RNAcentral's name for it is "partial 16S ribosomal RNA". It matches the Rfam family "Bacterial small subunit ribosomal RNA", at positions 524 to 776 of the family's 1533-position model. The record is from RNAcentral.